RNAcentral lists this small RNA (237 nucleotides) under Arabidopsis thaliana (thale cress). RNAcentral describes it as "ATSL135570". Lineage: Eukaryota; Viridiplantae; Streptophyta; Magnoliopsida; Brassicales; Brassicaceae. The record is from RNAcentral.
UAUAUAUAGAUAUAACUAUAUUUUCUAAUAUAUAUAAAAAGAUACGGAUCGAAGCGGAUAUUCGAUUUUUUUUUAAACAAUAUUUGUUAUUUGAUUCGGUUUUUAUGAAUACUACAUUUUUCUAUUUGCUUUGCUCCAAAAUCUUACGGAUAUUCGGAUUUUUUGAAUCAAAUCAAAUACCGAAUCGAAGCAGAUCGAACGAAUAUUUUGCCAAGCCCUACUGGCUAGUAAAACAAA